Molecule: ribosomal RNA, 657 nt
Filed under: Streptomyces sp.
Lineage: Bacteria; Bacillati; Actinomycetota; Actinomycetes; Kitasatosporales; Streptomycetaceae
Description: bacterial SSU rRNA
Rfam family: Bacterial small subunit ribosomal RNA
Source: RNAcentral
GUAGGCGGCUUUGUCACGUCGGAUUGUGAAAGCCCGGGGCUUAACCCCCGGGUCUGCAUUUCGAUACGGGCUAGCUAGAGUGUGGUAGGGGGAGAUCGGAAUUCCUGGUGUAGCGGUGAAAUGCGCAGAUAUCAGGAGGAACACCGGUGGCGAAGGCGGAUCUCUGGGCCAUUACUGACGCUGAGGAGCGAAAGCGUGGGGAGCGAACAGGAUUAGAUACCCUGGUAGUCCACGCCGUAAACGUUGGGAACUAGGUGUUGGCGACAUUCCACGUCGUCGGUGCCGCAGCUAACGCAUUAAGUUCCCCCGCCUGGGGNAGUACGGCCGCAAGGCUAAAACUCAAAGGAAUUUGACGGGGGCCCGCACAAGCCAGCGGAACANUGUGGCUUAAUUCGACGCAACGCGAAAAAACCUUUACCAAGGCUUUGACAUAUACCGGAAAGCUUCCAAAAAUGGUGCCCCCCUUUGUGGGUCGGUAUACAGGGUGGGGCAUGGCUGUUGUUCAGCUCCGUGUCCGGGAGAUGUUGGGUUUAAAUUCCCCGCAACGAGGGCAACCCUUGUUUNUUGUGUUGCCAGCAUGCCCCUUUCCGGGGUUGAUGGGGACUCCCAAGGAAAUGGCCGGGUUCAACUCGGAGGAAGGUGGGAAAAACUUCAAGU